UUAACCCAGUNGUAUGNNUGANNAAGAGUCCGGGGACACACGCUGGAAACGGUGGCUAAUACCGGAUGUGCCGAAAGGUGAAAGGUUUACUGCCUAAAGAUGAGCUCGCGUCUGAUUAGCUAGUAGGUGGGGUAAAAGCCUACCUAGGCGACGAUCAGUAGCUGGUCUGAGAGGAUGAUCAGCCACACUGGGACUGAGACACGGCCCAGACUCCUACGGGAGGCAGCAGUGGGGAAUUUUCCGCAAUGGGCGAAAGCCUGACGGAGCAAUACCGCGUGAGGGAGGAAGGCUCUUGGGUUGUAAACCUCUUUUCUCAGGGAAGAAAAAAAUGACGGUACCUGAGGAAUAAGCAUCGGCUAACUCCGUGCCAGCAGCCGCGGUAAUACGGAGGAUGCAAGCGUUAUCCGGAAUGAUUGGGCGUAAAGCGUCCGCAGGUGGCUGUGUAAGUCUGCUGGUAAAGAGCAAAGCUCAACUUUGUAAGAACAGUGGAAACUACACGGCUAGAGUGCCUUUCGGGGGAAAGGGAAUUUCUGGUGUUUCCGGUGAAAGGGUAAAGACCACGGAGAACACCGGUGGCCAACGCCCUUUGCUAAGCCCCCACUGAAC
Molecule: ribosomal RNA, 606 nt
Filed under: Nostoc sp. LCRNK31
Lineage: Bacteria; Bacillati; Cyanobacteriota; Cyanophyceae; Nostocales; Nostocaceae
Description: bacterial SSU rRNA
Rfam family: Bacterial small subunit ribosomal RNA
Source: RNAcentral